GAUGAACGCUGGCGGCGUGCCUAAUACAUGCAAGUCGAGCGAACGGACGAGAAGCUUGCUUCUCUGAUGUUAGCGGCGGACGGGUGAGUAACACGUGGAUAACCUACCUAUAAGACUGGGAUAACUUCGGGAAACCGGAGCUAAUACCGGAUAAUAUUUUGAACCGCAUGGUUCAAAAGUGAAAGACGGUCUUGCUGUCACUUAUAGAUGGAUCCGCGCUGCAUUAGCUAGUUGGUAAGGUAACGGCUUACCAAGGCAACGAUGCAUAGCCGACCUGAGAGGGUGAUCGGCCACACUGGAACUGAGACACGGUCCAGACUCCUACGGGAGGCAGCAGUAGGGAAUCUUCCGCAAUGGGCGAAAGCCUGACGGAGCAACGCCGCGUGAGUGAUGAAGGUCUUCGGAUCGUAAAACUCUGUUAUUAGGGAAGAACAUAUGUGUAAGUAACUGUGCACAUCUUGACGGUACCUAAUCAGAAAGCCACGGCUAACUACGUGCCAGCAGCCGCGGUAAUACGUAGGUGGCAAGCGUUAUCCGGAAUUAUUGGGCGUAAAGCGCGCGUAGGCGGUUUUUUAAGUCUGAUGUGAAAGCCCACGGCUCAACCGUGGAGGGUCAUUGGAAACUGGAAAACUUGAGUGCAGAAGAGGAAAGUGGAAUUCCAUGUGUAGCGGUGAAAUGCGCAGAGAUAUGGAGGAACACCAGUGGCGAAGGCGACUUUCUGGUCUGUAACUGACGCUGAUGUGCGAAAGCGUGGGGAUCAAACAGGAUUAGAUACCCUGGUAGUCCACGCCGUAAACGAUGAGUGCUAAGUGUUAGGGGGUUUCCGCCCCUUAGUGCUGCAGCUAACGCAUUAAGCACUCCGCCUGGGGAGUACGACCGCAAGGUUGAAACUCAAAGGAAUUGACGGGGACCCGCACAAGCGGUGGAGCAUGUGGUUUAAUUCGAAGCAACGCGAAGAACCUUACCAAAUCUUGACAUCCUUUGACAACUCUAGAGAUAGAGCCUUCCCCUUCGGGGGACAAAGUGACAGGUGGUGCAUGGUUGUCGUCAGCUCGUGUCGUGAGAUGUUGGGUUAAGUCCCGCAACGAGCGCAACCCUUAAGCUUAGUUGCCAUCAUUAAGUUGGGCACUCUAAGUUGACUGCCGGUGACAAACCGGAGGAAGGUGGGGAUGACGUCAAAUCAUCAUGCCCCUUAUGAUUUGGGCUACACACGUGCUACAAUGGACAAUACAAAGGGCAGCGAAACCGCGAGGUCAAGCAAAUCCCAUAAAGUUGUUCUCAGUUCGGAUUGUAGUCUGCAACUCGACUACAUGAGGCUGGAAUCGCUAGUAAUCGUAGAUCAGCAUGCUACGGUGAAUACGUUCCCGGGUCU
RNAcentral lists this ribosomal RNA (1372 nucleotides) under uncultured bacterium. RNAcentral describes it as "bacterial SSU rRNA". It matches the Rfam family "Bacterial small subunit ribosomal RNA", at positions 28 to 1381 of the family's 1533-position model. The record is from RNAcentral.